Molecule: ribosomal RNA, 302 nt
Filed under: uncultured bacterium
Lineage: Bacteria
Description: partial 16S ribosomal RNA
Rfam family: Bacterial small subunit ribosomal RNA
Source: RNAcentral
GCAGCCGCCGCGGUAAUACGUAGGGUGCAAGCGUUAAUCGGAAUCACUGGGCGUAGAGCGUGCGCAGGCGGUUCUAUAAGACAGAUGUGAAAUCCCCGGGCUCAACCUGGGAACUGCAUUUGUGACUGUAGAGCUGGAGUGCGGCAGAGGGGGAUGGAAUUCCGCGUGUAGCAGUGAAAUGCGUAGAUAUGCGGAGGAACACCGAUGGCGAAGGCAAUCCCCUGGGCCUGCACUGACGCUCAUGCACGAAAGCGUGGGGAGCAAACAGGAUUAGAUACCCCUGUAGUCCCUGUCUCUUAUAC